Molecule: ribosomal RNA, 793 nt
Filed under: uncultured bacterium
Lineage: Bacteria
Description: bacterial SSU rRNA
Rfam family: Bacterial small subunit ribosomal RNA
Source: RNAcentral
AGAGUUUGAUCAUGGCUCAGGAUGAACGCUAGCGGCAGGCUUAAUACAUGCAAGUCGAGGGGCAGCGGGGGUAGCAAUACCUGCCGGCGACCGGCAAACGGGUGCGGAACACGUACACAACCUUCCUUAAGGUGGGAGAUAGCCCAGAGAAAUUUGGAUUAAUACCCCAUAAUAUAUUGGAGCUGCAUGGCUUUGAUAUUAAAGAUUUAUUGCCUUAAGAUGGGUGUGCGUAUGAUUAGGUAGUUGGUGCAGGUAACGGCUCACCAAGCCUUCGAUCAUUAACUGGUGUGAGAGCACGACCAGUCACACGGGCACUGAGACACGGGCCCGACUCCUACGGGAGGCAGCAGUAAGGAAUAUUGGUCAAUGGACGAAAGUCUGAACCAGCCAUGCCGCGUGAAGGAUGACGGCCCUCUGGGUUGUAAACUUCUUUUAUAGGGGGCGAAAAAUGGUCAUUCUUGAUCAGCUGACGGUACCCUAUGAAUAAGCACCGGCUAACUCCGUGCCAGCAGCCGCGGUAAUACGGAGGGUGCAAGCGUUAUCCGGAUUCACUGGGUUUAAAGGGAGCGCAGGCGGAUUGGUAAGUCAGUGGUGAAAUACCUGAGCUUAACUCGGGAACUGCCAUUGAUACUAUUAGUCUUGAAUAUUGUUGAGGUAUGCGGAAUGGGUCUGUAGCGGUGAAAUGCAUAGAUAUGACCCGGAACACCAAUUGCGAAGGCAGCAUGCUAAACAAAGAUUGACGCUGAGGCUCGAAAGCGUGGGGAUCAAACAGGAUUAGAUACCCUAGUAGUCC